GUAGUCUCGCACAGAUGCAUAUCAAUAAGCGGAGGAAAAGAAACUAACAAGGAUUCCCUUAGUAACGGCGAGUGAAGCGGGAAGAGCUCAAAUUUGAAAUCUUCAAGGUUUUACCUUGACGAAUUGUAGUUUAAAGUAAGUGUUUUCUGUUGAAGUUUUGGUAAAAGUUCUUUGGAAUAGGACAUCAUAGAGGGUGAGAAUCCCGUAUUUGACCAUUAUUUUCAGCUGUGUGAUACACUUUCAAAGAGUCGGAUUGUUUGGGAAUGCAGUCCAAAAUGGGUGGUAAAUUUCAUCUAAAGCUAAAUAUUGGCGAGAGACCGAUAGCGAACAAGUACCGUGAGGGAAAGAUGAAAAGAACUUUGAAAAGAGAGUUAAACAGUACGUGAAAUUGUCAAAAGGGAAGCGUUUGACACCAGUGUUGCUUUUCUCGAAAAUCAAUUAAAAAGAGUUAGAUUUUGUUGUGUAUUGACCUUAACAGCUUGCAUUUAAAUUUUCUUGCUUUUUUUAAUGCACUUUUCGUUUAACAAGUCAACAGUCAGUUUCUUUUGUUGUAAAAAGGUCAUUGGAAGGUGGCUUUCUUUUCGGAGAAAGUGUUUAUAGCCUUUGACUCCUGCAAUCGGAGAGACUGAGGUCUGCAGCGUAGAUCCUUCGGGGUUAGAUACAUUUGUGCUAAGUUAUAGCUUUUUAUAGACAACUUGUUGACUAUGAUUAGUCUUGUAGCUUACUCGCUUAUGCUAUUUUACCUACGCUUAGGAUGUUGAAGAUGUAGACAUCAU
Molecule: ribosomal RNA, 776 nt
Filed under: uncultured Neocallimastigales
Lineage: Eukaryota; Fungi; Neocallimastigomycota; Neocallimastigomycetes; Neocallimastigales
Description: partial large subunit ribosomal RNA
Rfam family: Eukaryotic large subunit ribosomal RNA
Source: RNAcentral